Molecule: ribosomal RNA, 84 nt
Filed under: Gammaproteobacteria bacterium
Lineage: Bacteria; Pseudomonadati; Pseudomonadota; Gammaproteobacteria
Source: RNAcentral
UCCCUUCCCGAACUCAGAAGUGAAACGAUGUAUCGCCGAUGGUAGUGUGGGGUCUCCCCAUGUGAGAGUAGGUCAUCGUCAAGC